UCAUCACAUCUCCAUCCAAUCCAAUUCGAUUCGAUUCAAUUGUUUGUGAUUCUAAAACAGAAAUCUAGGGAUCAAAAAUUGAAAAUUGAAGAUGAAGACGAUCGGACGAACCCUGUAAUCGGGGCCGGUGAGGUAGAGAGCGAGGAGCUUGACGGCCUGGAGAGGCGUGGCGGCGGAGGCGUCGAUCUCAUUGAUGACGAGUUGGUAGCUGCCGAGGGCUAUGUAAGAGCGGAAGACGAGGCAGUCUCUCUCGACGGCGUCGUCUGGAGAGAGAUUGGGAAGCUCGCUGUUGUUAAUGGCGGCCUGGUAGGCGCCCAAGUAGAAGUUGUUGCGAAGAUUGAAGAGGUGGUCUGGUCCUGCUGCUACUGCUGCCAUUGUUUCGAUUUCGAUUUGCUCUGCUUUGCAGAUUGCAGUUACAGAUCUGAGAGAGAGGGUGGUGAACAAAGGCUAUAGAGGGCCGAUUAUUUUGAAGUUAUGAAAUUUAUGUUGAUGUAGAAAGAUUUAAUGGCCCAACCCAAAACUCACUUUUAAACCCAAUGUGUGUGAAAAGGGUGUUUCUAAAAUAUAUAAUUUUUUUUUUUUGGGAGAAAGAGAAAAUUAAGAAAGCUCAAUACAUUCAUCUUAAAAAUUCAGAGCACGAUUCCAUUUGAACUCUAACAAGUAGUUAUAUUCAUUAAGAAAUUUUAAUAAAGAUUAUCAUUUCCGAUUUACUUUUGAGUAACGAGUAAAACUCACGAUUCGUUUUCUUAUAUAAUUUUAAAGUAAACUCUGAAUACAUGCAAUUACUCACAAAUAAACUCGAUAAAUAUCAUGUUUACAAUUACAUUUUAAAGUGCAAUCAACGUAAUUAGGUAAAUGAUCAUUCGUUUGAAGAACUUUUACAUAUUAUGUCAAUCUCUCUCUCUCUUUCUUAAGUUUUUUGGGUUUAUGUAGCAAAAUCAUUCAAAUCAGCUAGUUUAGGUUGGUGAGUUAUUGGUGUGAAACUCUCCAGUCCCAGUACACAAAGCAAGAUAACUUCAGGGCACACAGAAUCAAAAGGCACUGUUAUGUUGUUUUCUUGGCAAAGCCUUCUUGGACAGCCAACUCCCAACUUUAGUGGUCAGGGAGGCAGGUAACAAGCUGAAGAAAUUCCAAAUGAACAAAAGCCAAAUUUUGGCACCUUAUUCAUCUUUUAUUUGCUCUUCCCUCUAAAUUUAGCAUGGAUUUUCUUGAAGAUAAUAUACUCAAGACUGUAAUUUUAAGAAAGUUCAUUUCAUUUCAUUUCAAGAGCAAACACACACUCACACAGCACAAGCAAUACAUUUGAUACAUUAAAAAAAGAGAGCUAUGGCAUCAACAUUGUCUAUUUUGUUUUAAGUAGUUUGACAAUGGACAACACUGUAAUAACCAGCAGGAGGAGGAGCCCCACGUAGGAAGCAAUGAGGGCACCGCCGCCGUGGUCGCAGAACUUGUGGAACUUGUCACAUAUUUUGUUCCACCUCGCAUGCGAAUUACCGUUCUUCCCUAGCUGUGCCAUGAAGGUUGCUGCACCAUCACCUGAAGAUGCCAGGGACACAGUCAUCUGCAUAAUACAAAUUAGAUUAGUAUUCGGAUUAAGCUCUUAAUGUUGCUUUACAUAAAAGUUUUAAGUGAAGAAAAGAAGUUUGGCUACUAUUGAGAUCAAGAAUAGAAAUGGGAGGUGCGAGUUUUGAUAUAAUACCACGUCUAAAAUGGCCACCAUCACCAGGCGAAGGGCUUUGUCCUUGAACUUGUCUCCAAAGAAGUGCACUGUGAUCAUGGAGAGGUUAUGAAGGCUGGCCAUCCCAUUAGCUAUCACAAAGAACCUGUAUCAACGAAUCAAAUUUUUUUUUUUCAUUUCGGUUUGUUUUUAGUCAGAUAAAACACAAACUCUCUCAUAAACAAUGACCAACUUAGUUAUAAUUCAUGAGGAGAAAGAAAAUGAGAGAGUACUGCUGAGGCUUACACAUUUGCUGGAUUGUGUUGAAACUUGGCUGUGAGGGUGGCUCUAACUGGGGUUGUCCCAAUGGUGGCAACCACCAAGGACUUGGUCUCUUUGUUGAGCGCCAUUACAACAGUUGCAGAGGCUGUGGCCAAAAAUGCCACCACCCUCAGUAUGACAAUGGUCCAAUCCGUCGGCUUUGUCACCGCCACAAAAGCUGACGCAUCCUGUGGUUUCUCCCCAUUUUCUAUAGCCAUGGUUGAAUGAGUGGCAGAGAGAAGUGAAUAUUUUGUUGCUGCUAGAUAGAGGGGCUUCUUAUAGUGUUUAGAGGAAGGUGGAUAGACCAACAAAAUCAGUUGUUAAGUCUAAGAAGCCAAGUGAAGCAUAUAUCUAGUUUCUUUGAGUUGUCUAACUAUCCACUAACUUUUGGUAUGUAGGUGUAGGUAGUUUGGAAUUUUUUUUUUUUUUUUUUUUUGCCCUCAGUUUGGAAAACUUUUUAACCCUAAACUGCAGAUCCAUUGGGCCAACAAAUUUACCAACCUUAGUUUAAUCUUGUUCCUGCGCAUAGACAUCGCCAAUUUUGACAAUAUUCACUUUGAGCUCCUAUUUCCUUCAAUUAUUAUUGGUAGGGUGUUGUUAAAUCCUAAAAUUAAUCGAGCACAACAUAUUAUUAAAUUAUUUAUUUAAUAUAAAAUGGUAAAAUAAUAAUAAUAAUUUGUGAAAUAAAUAUAAUUUUAAUAAGUACACCAUAUUCACCAUAUUCAACUCUAAUCAAAUCAAUCAUUCGAUGAAUUAGCAAUUCAGAAGGCAAGAACAAAAUAAAGUUAAAUUCGUCUCAAGGACAACAGAUGGGACGUUAAUAUUAACCUUAAGCUCAUGGCUUUUGGUACUCCUCAAUUAAUGAGGACAUGCAUCAACUAAGUCGGCAGCUGUUAGACAACUACAGUGUAAUGCAUCAAGGCAACCACCAAUGGACGAAUCAUGUUCUCCGGACCACAUUAAUGCCGAGAAGUUUGCAACACCCGUCUAUAUGUGAUAUCUAGCACAUCAAAUCAUGCCCAUUAGCAGCAGUUACGCAUCUAAAUUCAUUUCUCUUCUGUUUCAUGCAUGAUCAUGAACUUGAAGCCCUUCUGAAUACUACAGCCCAAUUCUUGAAUAAAUUUGGUGUUGUGUGAGUGUAUUAAAGUGUACCAACGAUAUUUUUGAUAGCAAAAUAGAGUGUACUUAUUUAAUUUAAUUUUUUAAUUAAAAUAUUAAGAUGUACUUAAAUCAUAAGGUACACUCAAUUAAUUUUAUGAUUCUUUUAACACCACCCGUAUUAUUGUUAUUAUCCUUCUAGUUUAUAAAUUGUUACUGCUACUUGAUAAUUAAUACUUUAAUCAAUGCAAGAUCAAAACGUUCAUCAAAGCUCCAAGUUGAGUAGUUUUGUAGUUUGAAAAAACAUAUAUAGGUCAGCUCAUGAGCAACCAACCACCACGGGAACUCGAUUUACUGCCGAUCAAUCGAAUAGGUUUAAAAUUGAAUAGAAGAGAUAGUCCGAGCACUAUAAAUAACAACAAUUAAACAAAAUAAAUUGUUUAAAUACAAAACAAAUGUUUGACAAUUGGAUUUGUAGUUUGAAAAGUAGUUUGAAAUCAUAUAUACUUUUAUGUGCAGUCACUCAACUUGAACACGCGGGUGAUACAGCAAUUACAAGAAUGAUAUAGGAAUGUCCUCUCCAAUUCAAGUCUCUUUAAUAGUACAUGAUACAUUUAUCUGACGCCUCAUAUGUGAAAUCAUUUCUCGCACAGGUGUUUAUGAACAACUCCAAUAAAAUAUACACCAAUUUUGAUGUCUAUCUUCCAAGUAAUGUGUAAUAAGGACAGAAUCCCGCUGUAUUAUUUUUUCCCAGUUGUGACACCAACGACGACAUUGCUCACCUGUGAGGUUAAGAGUUUUAUCAUCAGCAGAUGUUUGGUUGGUCAAUAAGAGAAAAAAAGAAAGAAGGGAAUUUACAGGGAAAACAAAGGCAUGUGAAAGGAUGUAUAAUUGAACAAACUUACCAAUUUGCCACUUUCAUCAACAGACAUAGGGUUCUCAACCACAACGGUCUGGCUCUGAGAAUGGGGAAAAUAACAAGAGAGAUAUUCAACAGAUUCACUAAGCAUCAAAUGUCACUACCACAAACGUGGUCUCAUCUGGGAAAUAUAAAUGGUAUGCUUUUAAGAACUUACUGCGGAAGUAGAGGGCGCCGUUCCUGAAUUGGCUGUCCCAUUAGGUCUGUGCACUGGAAUUGGAACCCUCAUAUUGGUCAUCUGUAAAAUGUUCAAAAACCAGAGAGAGAUAAAGAUCGAGAGAGAGAUCAGGAGAGAGAGAGAUAGACACACACACACAGAGACACACACACACACACAGACAAUGUCUGUUAACAUCAGUUAUAUUGCACCCAUGUGUUAUAUUGACAUAAAUCAUUGAGUAACAGUGAUAUGCCAAAGGUUCAAAAGACUCAUCUAUACUUACACCAACAUUAGUUACAUAGUGACAGACUGCACAUUUGACUGAAGGAGCUCCAUAUGGAUACAUAAGUGUUGUCCGGCAGUUUCCACAGUUGACGUGGGCAACCUGACUGGAUGCUUUUUCACAAUAAUAAAACCCACAGGAGAGGAGAAAUCAAUAACAGCUUGAUGAAGUAAAACAGUAAUCCAACAUAGAAGAAACUUAAAGCUCUACAUUUGCAAUCAUAAAAUAUUCUAAUUACUAUCAAUUUUCUAAGAUCUUACUGAAUAAAACCAAAGACAAGUUCAGUAAUUGGUUUACAAAACAACAGAAAUCUCAAGCUCUGUUGUUGACAGAAAAAGUUGCUGCCAAGUGUGCUUCUAAACCAAACAUGAAAGCAAAAUUAACAGCAAUGCUGUAGAAAGGGAAUUCUCCCUCAAGAUCUUUCAUUUAAUAAAAAAGUUUAUAUGAAACCAAUUAUUCUUUACAAAUGACUAGUCUGUACUCAGAAGGUAGGUGGGACAUCCUUUCUUCAAAUUUACAAUCUUACAAUUUUUCUCUAUCCAUUAUGUUAAACUGUAAAGUUUCCAAAAGUGAGCUAGAUAUAAUCCAGAACCUUCCAAACAGAAGUAUACAACAUUGCAGAAACGGAUCCACAAUCACACAUGCAUGGGCAUGCACAGACACAAUGCUGAACUCCUCUGCAGUAUCUAUCAUGUGAAUGCCGGUCACUACCCAAAGAUUGUUUACUAAGGAAAACAUUAAGGCUGCAUGAUCACCUUCUACUAUGUUGCAGAUUACAAGAGUGAACAAUUUACCUUUUUUUUUCUUUCCCUUUUUCAUUUUGUGACUUGAGGGGGAAGGGGGGUCACAAUGCCCUGACUUAACAAUUGAAACUUCAUAUUAUAUGCAAGAGAGCUUAUAUAGUACCUGGAGCAAGAUUCACAGUAUGACAGCAGGAGCACCUCACACUUGUUGCCCCACGUGUAUGCAUUAACAACGUCCUACAACCCCCACAAAUAAGUUGAGCCAUUUCUGUACCUGCAAGGUCAUUGCACAAAUUUUUUAACCAAACCUUAUGACUUUCCAAAUACAUACUUCUUAGGUUAAAUAAAUGUCUAAUGGUGAUAACACACAGCACAAUUAUCUUAGCCCUGACAUGUAUACUGACAGCCAAUGGAGGGUGCUCUCACAAUUAAUUUGUAUUGUUUACAACAUCCACUCUGAAAACCACCAUGCAUGGUAGCUUCCUUUAAUAUAAAAUGUUCAAAAUAAAUCCCAGUUCAGUAAGAGUUUUCAAUGAUAUGACGGUUCCCCAUUCAUAGCAAUUAUCCACACAUCAACCAUUGUAGAAUUUACACUGUUUAAAGUACAUAGAACAUCAAAUCUUGACAAAUGCUGAAGGCAAAAAUUAGCCACAAUGCUGGAUGCACAAUGCAUGAAAAGUGGCACGUACCAGUUAGGCUACUACCAGGACAAAUGCAACUCCUAAUCCAGAUUAAAGUUGAUCUUGAGCUUUUAUGUUUACGUAGUGUUUUUUAUAUUGACUUUAUAAGCAAAGAACUAUUACUUCGAUGCAUAAGUUUACUAGCCCUCUGACAAUUCCAGUAAAAAAAUUGCCCACAUGUUAGGUACCCACCACACAGAAUGACCAUUGAAACAAAGCACUUCAAAUGAUAACAACUACUCAACAAGAUUGCCCUCAGGAUACUCCACAACUGAGGACCUGCUGCCUGAGGGCGAAUUGAUGAGACUGAUUCUUAUCUUAAAGUCUUCUCUCCUUCACCCGUUUAAUUCUUAUUUCAACCCUUCAUCUUCUAACUAAGAAUCCUGAUAACUUUCUCUUCAACUUCUACAUUAUUUCCACAUAAUUUCUAUCUUCAGGCUGCAUCUGGUUUGGCCAUGCAUCAACACUUUAACAACCCCACUGAUCAAAGUUACUAUGGAAAAAAAAAACAAAAAAAAACAAAAUGAUCAUGUUUAUUCUCCAUUUGGUUUACCUUGGAUACAAAAACCAUGUGAUUGACACCAUUCACAAGCCAAUUCGUUUUAAUGUAACAAAUUUCAUGAAUAAUGAACAUGAACAUGAACAAGAAAAUAUUCACUUAACCAGUACCCACUAAGAAAAAGGAUAAGGAAAAGAGAUAUUACCAGGAGGAGGGACUGGGGUAAUUAUAUUGCAUAAUGCACAGCAAACAUUUGUAGCUCCUCUAGGAUAUAGAAGAAUGCUCCUACACCCACUACACACAAGCUGGCUCUGCAUACCUGCAACGUUUAGAAACACACAUACAAAAUGAGGCUUUACCAACAGAAUCAGACAUCAAUAGAGAAAACUAUAGCACUCCACAACUUAAAUGGCCAAUAUGCUAGACAGUGACAGAUUGCAGUCCAUUAGAAAUUCUGAAGAACUGAAAUGAACUUUGGAAAAAAAGAACCUGAAUACUUGAAAAUAUUUAUUCCCAAAUAGACUAAAUAACAAAAGCAAAAGAAGUAUUAAAGCUUAUGGCAAAAAUUCCUAAGCAUAUCCAAAAGACGUAUUCUUUACUUCCAAAAAAGAAAAUACGUAUUAAUAAAGAAAAUCACAGCAACAAGACUAAACUGUCUUCAUGAAACUCACAAGACUAAACUAACUUUCUUUAUGAAACACUAGACCUUAUUUUGUGAACACAAAUCAAUACUACUACGAGCCCAAACUAACUUUAUUCAUGAAACUCUGGCUCCUUGAAGUCUUCCCACAAUCCAACCAAACUUGAUAUUCUCAUGUCUUCGCACAUCCUAACAUUCACAAUAUCAACACUCAUAGAUAUGCUAACACUUCUGCGGGUGGAAAGGGUAUGAACCCCUAUACACAGAAUAAGGCCCACUUCCUCAAUGCAAAACAAUUACUUUAAAAAGUCAGGCCUUGGGACUGAAGUAAGCCAUUGUAUCAUUCAUGGGAACAAGAUAUAGGUAUAAAGAGAAAAAGCUAUUAAGUCAAACAAGCCUAACCAGAGGUGGGUAGAUAUAUCAAGGAGAAAAUACUUUGUGUUUCUAGACUACAAUAUACUGCUUCCAGAAUUUCCUGAUUUAAAACACAAGAUUGUAUUUCUUGCAGCACGUCAUAUAUUGUGCUUCAUUAUGAAAUUAAAGAAGACUACAUACAUUAAAAUUUAAAAGUACAAAGCCAACACCAAUAGGUGAUAGGUGCAGAUCAUCCCAUCUUUAGAAAUAAGCUAAGACAGUCACUGCCUCUGACAAGCAUUGAUUUAUAGGUUUAAAGGGUAAGUGCAUCAUAUAUUUUUGAAAAACAAAUUCCGUAAGUUAAGGUAAAAUUUAAUUAAAGGUGAAAACAGGUAAACAGGAAGCAUAAAAGAGAAACACCAAGAAUCAUGUCCAAAUAAACGCAAAAUUUCUUCAAGGCCACACAUUAAUACAAUGAAUCGCAUCAUCUCUUCAGCCAAAUAAAAGUGAAUCAUCGACAUUAACGGUCACACUAUAAGAAGAUCAAAACUGAAUAAGUUCUGACAAGUAAAGUCUUAAACUUUAUCAGGUUCACAGGAAGGGAAAAAUGUACUAAUUAAUCAGAGAUACAGGAUUCUCCAUCGUACUGUCCCAGUGACUCAGCCUUCUUGUUACUAGCAAUGGACCUCAGCUCAUCAGUUAACAAGCCAUGACGUCCCAAAACUACAAGAUCCAGAAGCUUUCUCCUUGCAUGAUAAACUGGAUUUGGGUGAAUCAAACACCCCCUCUCAUAAGCUUCUCUCAGAAAAACGGUGUGUCUCUUUCCCUUGGUCGACAAAUAAAACAUCCCAGGGUGAUCCAAGAACAAAUCCCUUAUAUUCAAAUCAAAGCCAAACCAUUUCCUGAAAUGGCUGAUUUUUUCCACUUCAACUGUCUUCUCUACUGUCAAAUUCAAGAAUUCAUGAACAGUUGCAACUGCCCGUUUCUCCACAGCCAUCAUUCCUGCCUUAGAUGACCUCUUCUUCUCAGACAACUCAUCAUAUGGUCCCACAUAUGGCAACCUCUGCCAUUCCUUAACCUUGGCCCUAAAAUUCUUUCUUAACCUCAUCCCUGGAGGAUACCCAUGUUUAAAACUAAACUGAAUUUCAGCCCUAUCGACAUUGCAACCCUCCUUGCAAAAUUCCUCUACCCUCCAGUUCUCAACCGCUGCAGUAAACUUUUCAGGAAUUACAUCAAACAGUUUCAAGUUGUGAGUAUUGGGCUCAUGAGCAUCACAAAGUUGAAAAAGAUGGGAGUUUCUGGAUAUUACAGAAUCCUCAAAAUCAUCAGGAAGCCCAAGUUCCCUGCCAACUUUCAAAAUGGCACGGAGUGGCAACAUCCUGGAACGAGACAUUGAUAGAAGUCGAACCAAUCGAUCAACAACAAGCGGCAACGAGGCAUUGAUGACCUCUGCUUCUUCUUUAGAAAUUUGAAUAGCAGCAUCAGUUAAUCUGCAGAAGGUCUGAGACUUCAUGGGAUCAUGGUAAAUGUGGAAAAUGUGAGGGUAUUUGCGGAGGAAGGCGACUGCACCACGGUUGAGAUGGAGCUUUUGAGAGAGCCUGGAGAGAAAAUCAAGGGAUACUGCAGGGUUGAUGGGGUUUGCUAGGAUGAGAUCUUGGACAGCAAUGACUUUGAGAAGGUUCUUGUACUUAUCCAUUAGUUUCUCAAACGUGGGAUCUCUGGCUCUUGAUGCUACAUACUGAGAUGAGGUUGUUUUCAACCGGACAGCCAAGAAAUGUUGAUGGGGCUGUUUCAUUAUCCAUCUGGUAAAUUGGGUUCCCAUCUAAACUCAAACAGAUAAUUUCUAUGUUUCUGACACAAUCAGCCUCCUAGAAUAUAGGCAUUAACUGAAGCAGAAACAUGUCAAGUCUUCAGCCAAACAAACGCAAACAUCGAUGAACAAGGCCGUUCUAUAUAAGAAGAUCAAAACCUGAAUAAGUUCUGGCAGGUAAAACCUCAAAACCUAAUACCGAGUCCCAAUACAAAACAUUGAGGAACUACAACCAUAAUAAUACAUUGAAAACACGCAAAAUAUGCAGCAAAUCCCUACUAACCAUUACAAGCAAUCAGGCAGCAACAAUUACAUUAACAAACCAAAUUCAAAUUAACAAUCUUUUUCAUGAAAGAGGUUAAAUUAUUUUCCUACGAUACCUGAUUUUGUUCAAAAAAUUCAAACUUCACGACCCCUCGCGCAACUGGAGCUGUAUUCGACGCAAUCGGAUUGCUGUCUCCAACCAAGAGCUUCAAUCAGACCAAGUCAACGACAUAUAGAUUAUGCAGCGAACAGGAAAUAAAAUUCAUAGAAAUGAAUACCUGAAGGCGCCCUAAGAACAGAAGCGAAGGCCGUGCAAAGGACCAAAAAUCACAACUUUUGGGGGGUUUUUUGGAAUCAGAUCGAAAACGAGGAAUUGGGUCUCAGAGCAAGAAACUGGGUUGUCUGGUUCUUCAGGAAAAUGAUAAGGAAGCGUCGAAGGAAAAAGGUUCUGGUCGUCGUUGUUGAAAUUCCUUUCUUGGUUUGAGAUUGUGUUGUAAUGGGUUGGGAAUAUGGGAGAUAUCGAAAUAAUUUUCAACGGACAACCUUAUUUUUUUAAUUUGUAAACUCGACAGCUCGUUUCUCUCUUGUUAAUCCUCUAGAGUGUGAAAUAGGAUCCGAAAACUCAUACACCAGAGCCUACUAUGGCUAAAAUAAAACCAUCCGGCGAUUUUUUUAUUUGUUUUAUUUUGUCCCAUAAAUAUUCGUACGUGUGCUUGACGAUUUUAUUUAUUCAACAAAAUUAAAUGUGCAAUGGGAUGGGAUCAUGGGACAUAGCCUAAUCUAAUGGAUAGAUAAAGUUUUUAAUACAAAUACAAUCGAUAGCGUAAACUACAAGAUGAGAGAUUUCUCACAUACACUAUUAGGAUUGAAGUUUUUAAAAAAAGUCAAUUUCUUUUAUUAAGUAGUUUUAAUUACAUUGAAUUUAUUCUCUAUAAUUUACAAACUGUUUCAAUCCCAGGGCAGCCAUUUGUAAAUUUUGGUCAAUUUCUUCACACAACACAUGGAUUUGACUUUAUGCAACGGUAAAAAUGUCAUUUCCCUCCGUACCAUACACAUAAAAUAAAAAAAUAAAAAAAUAAAAAAAUUACUACAUAAAAAUGUCAUUUCCCUCCGUACCAUACACCUAACCUUCAUCAUUUUCACAAACAUGUUGGGUUUAUUUGGUUGAACCUAAUAAACAACUCCAACUAAAAAGGGAAAAAACUUAUAAGAGCAUCUAUAAUGGACUUCCUAAAUCAUAUCUUUAGACAAAUUUUAGGAAAAAAAUGGAAAAAUACAAAUCCAACUAUUCUCCUUAUCCACCUCCUAAAAUAGAGAGAUUUUUAGGAGCUCCUAAAUCUGAGCAGAUAGAAAUGACUCUUAUAAAUUAAUGCUGCUUUAUUUUAUAAAUAUUUUAAAUCUUUAAUUAAUACUAACUAUUUUUAUAUUAUUUUUUUAAUAGAGGUGGACCAAUUAAAAAAGAGUUAUAGCAUUUAUGACUCCCUAAACUAAAGAGUAUGAUUGGAGUUAAAAUUUUAUAUAGAGCUCUUAAAAUAACUUUUAUACAUUUUAAACUAAAUUUUAACUAAAAAAUAACAAGCAUGAUUGUAGAUGACACAAUUGGGCCUCGUUGGGUUGGCUUCUUCAAUGGCUAAGAGUUCUCAUGUAGUCCAAAUCAACGAACAAUUGGGCCAUAAUUCAACAUUUCCAUAAAACUCAAUCAGAACCGAAUGGACAUUUCACUCAACUCAUUUUAUGUAAUAAAUAGAAUAAUAGAAAUUUAGUUUUUUCUUUUUUCUUUUUCUGUUACAGACAUUUAGUUAAAUUGAACCAAAUAAUUACAAGCAAAGCAAUUUUUUCUUUUUCUGUUACAGAAAUUUAGUUAUAUUGAAUUAAAGAAUUACAAGCAAAGAAAAUGUGACAGAUUGCAGUGUGGUCAUGCGUUUUUAGUACACAAGAUAUCUGAUUCAUUAUUUAGGUAAAUGUUGUUUGAUUCAUACCUUCCAAUAAGAUUGAAAUAAAUUAAUAACUGAAAAUCAAAACUUGUAGUUUUGCAUGAUCGGUAAAAUAAAAUUAACGUGACUUUGUCGGUCUCUAAUUAUAUGUGAUAAUGAAUUAUAUAGACAUAAAUACAGACACACAAAAACACAAGAUAUUGGAGGAAAUUAAAAAUAUUGGAAAAUUUUCUCUGUGACUGCAAUGUAAGCUACCAUUACAGACUGUGCCUAAUUAACUUCUAAUGGAGAGGGCUACCCACCAAUUGUAGUGUGAAAACCACUGUACAAAGUUUGAAUAAGAUCAAAUAGGAGACGAAUGUAGCUGGUUUGUUGAGAAUGUGUCACAUGGCACAAUUUUUAUUCACUGAAACAAGCAUAUACCAUACUAGUGACAAUUAUAACUCUUAUAGCUUGUUGAUUUCACGAGUUAUAUAUUACUUAUGUUAGUUUUAUUUUAUGUUGUCGUUAAUCAAUUCAUAUUUAAGGAUGGUUCAUGAUAAAAAUUGGAAUAAGUGAGCUUAAGCUACAUUCAGUAUAACUAGUUUGGUAAUAAACUUGUGAAUACAAACAUCAAGUGAGAGAGGUGUGUUUUCAGUUUAGUCAAGAUACUAAGUUAUUUUUAAUCUUAUAAAAGACUCUAUAACUUAUAUAAUGUGUUGAUUUUGGUACAUUAAUAUACAUGAAAAACAUUUCGUCUAUGUGAUAUUUUUGCAUUUUAUUGAAUGAAAGAGAGCUUGUGUUUAAAAAAAAAGAAAAAAAGAGAAGGGGAGCUUAUUUUGUAACUAUGUAAAUCAACAAUUUCUGAAUUAGACAUAUCUAAAUUAGUGCAAUUGUUUACCUUUUAUAUUCAUAAUGUGAAGAGAAGCAUAAAAAUGAUACAACGAUUGCUCCCAGUAAAUAAAAGUUAUCUCGCAGAAAGUUCUUGUGCAUUACAUAGAAAUUUUGCUCAUUAGCGGAUUUUACUAGAAUCUGUGUGUAUUGCAAAACAUCUCAACUGACAUUGACAGUCGGUCUCGGAUUCGAGUUUGUUUCCAAGUCAAAACUCAAAUUGUGGGCCUAGAAGAAAAAGAUGAGAGAGUGUGCUAAACCCAAAUUUAAGUUUCGACCCAACCAUCUCCAAUAGAAUUUAGACUCAAAACCCAAAAAUGUGCAUUGGAGAGAAUUUGGGCCACCAUUUUUGGACCCAAAUAUGUGAAUUGUCAAAUAUCCUGAUUCUUUGACCUAAAAAGAAAAAAAGAAAGAAGAACUGACACAAAUGUACAAAAAGAGCAUCCUGAUUCUAUCAUAAAAUUCAUAUAUCUUAGCCCUCACUUAUAUAAGAAUGCCAAAACUUUCAUAAAUCCAAUCUUUCAUCCUAAAAAAUUUACAAAAAAAAAAAGAACUUGGGUCUCUUAUUUUUAUGAGCGACCGAGAAACUUAUGUCAUAAAUAUUGCGUACAAUUGUAUUUCCGUAAAUAAAAAUUACAAAUGUUAAAAGAUUUUAUAUGAGAGACCAUAUGAAACGUAAACAAGAUAUGAAAUAUCAAAAAAGUCCUUAUCAUACCUAAAGCGUGUGUCAAGAAACUAAUUAUUAUUAUUUUUUUCAAAGACAUACUUAAAAAUUAUAAAUAAAAAAAAUUAAAAAGAAGCAAAAGAGAAGAGAAUUGUGAGAUGGGCCCACUUAGCUUGUAUAACUUACAAACAAGUUAUUGUGCGGUUGGUUGAGCUAUGGAGCGCUGGACUCACCGCUUUCCGUUAAAACUGCGUGCGUUUGAGCGGGUUGACCCUCUCUCUCGUCCCCUCCUUCUAAAUAUUUAUUUCAUAAAUUACAUAAGAAAAAUAAGAAAUUUCCUUGUUCUUUUCCUUUUCCAUUUCCUAGUAGCAUUAGAUCCAAUUUCCUCGUUCAAGCAGGAAAACUUAAUUCCAAUUUCCACCUCAUUUCCUUGUUCUCUUAUAUUAUAUAUAUAUAUUUCUUCCUAUUAUUACCCAUAAUAAAGAGGCCAAAUAAAUAUCUAAAAUACCAACAUUUAUUGUGAAUAUUAGUAUUUAGAGGAGAGGAGAGAAGAGGAGAGGGUUGCAUAUAUUUAAGUUCACCUAUUGCCUACACAUCAAGUCAUCACCUUACCUGGAAUCUUAGGCGUGUUCUUAAGGUACCCUUCUGAAUUUUCAAUCCACUUUUUGCCAUAUUUUAAUAUUCAAUAUUUAAUUCCUGCAAAACUAUGUCUUGGGUUUUUGUAUGCUUUCAUCCUCAUUGUUGUUAGACUAUGCAAUUCUUUUUCACUUUGAUUGAAUUUCCAAAUAUUUUUCUGUUUACCAAGUCAAUUCUUUGGCUUUAAUAGGAAACAAAACUGAAUAGGGUUGAAUUUUUUAGCGUGUGGAAAAUAAUUUACCAAAAUUGUAAGAAUUUAGGCCUGGUUAGAUACAUGCAAUUGGGUUUUCGUUUUUGGUUAAGUGCAAUUGGGUUUGGUUUGAUCAGAAAGUAGAAAGAAAAUGUUUCUGGGGAAUGCCUUUGCUGCUUUGGUGAAUUAGGUAUACAUAAUUUGCAUUCUUUGGUUAAGUUUGUUUGGUUACGCAGAAGUGGGAAAUUUGCCUGUGGUGAUUGGCUUUGUAUUGAUUUUGAUAGGUUAGUAAAAGGGUUUUCUUUUGCAGAUAUCGUUGGUUAGACAUGCUUUCACAACAAUUUCAGUCAAUGGAACAGUUGAAAUUAGCGGCAGAAUCUCAGCAAAAAGAGGUUGGAUUUCUAAUCCCUUCUGUUGUAUUUGUUCCAUGAUGUCAUCUAUCUGUGGUGGUGACUAUCACUUUCAGGCCAAAAAGAAAAGAUUUUAUAGUUUUUGUUCAUAUUUUCUAAACCAUAUGUUUUGUUGACUCGCAAGAAAUUGCAGAUCUGUGUUAUCCGUUUCUUAUCUAUUGUAAAAGAAUAUGUUUAGCUAUACAAACUCUGUUUUUUCUUUUUCUUCCAACUUUUGUCCAUCAUCGAUUGCUUUGAGAACGUUGAUCAACCUUCUGUUAUAACCUUGCCUUCUGCGUAAUAUCCUGCUUCCACCCCUGUGGUUUCUGCAUGAUGGGAAGUUGCAUCAGUUUGAAACUUAGAGAAUGCUACUCUAGGUAGAGAAAUUUAGAGUAGAAAAGAUUUUAAAUAGAUAUUUUGACUCUUAAAGGAUCAUUCAUAUUACAAUGUUAUUUUUCUUAACUGAAUGCCUUGGUCUUUUAAGGAAUUUAAAUUUAAGCCUUCAAGUAUUUUUAUUCUUACGGACAAUGCAUUGCAGGAUCAUUCUUUUAAGGGCAACCAGAGAAGUGAUGACGCACAUGAGUGCUCAGGCAGUCCUCGAAGUCGAAAGGUACCGAACGUUUUUAUUAUUAGUUGUUAUGUUGGGUAAUUGAUGGACUAUGCAUAACUCACUAAAAGUCAGUUAGGGUAGUCUUUUCAUAGCUUUAUGAAGUACAUCCAAUUUGUUUUAUCAAAUUAAAAAGGAAUACACCACUUCAUACCGUGGACCCAUAUGCAUAUAUGAAUAAAUUUUUUCCCUCUGGUUGGAAAAUAAAAUUGGAAGAAACACUUGUGUCAUCAAAUCCUAGAUUUUCUGCAUUUUGAGUGUUAAGAAUGACCAACAUCAAAUUAGGAUAUUAAUUUUCUUUGUUCACUCAUUUGAAUUGCUUUUGUAAGAAAUGGAUUCAUGUGCUUAAAUGGAACAUAUGGUCCUUUGUGUUACAGAUAUCAGCUAGAUGGGAUCCGGAUGAACCAUGCAGGCCUGCCAUUGAUGAAGCACCUGUAUUUUAUCCAACUAUUGAGGUAUUCAUUCAUUUUUCUAUUGUGGAUAGUAGGAUUUUUUUUUUAUAAAAAAUAAAUGGACUCUUUGUAUUUAUUUAUUCAAUUUCAUGUGUUGCCCUCGUCUAUUAGGAGUUUGAAGAUACACUUGGUUACAUAGCAAAGAUACGCCUAGUGGCUGAAUCUUAUGGUAUAUGUCGGAUUGUCCCGCCACCUUCCUGGACCCCUCCCUGCCCUCUUAAGGAUAAAGAGAUGUGGGAGCAUGCUAAAUUUUCCACACGUAUUCAGCAAGUUGACUUGCUUCAAAACAGAGAAGCCAUGAAAAAGAAAAGUAGAGGUCGGAAGCGAAAACGAAGAAGGCACUCAAGAAUGGGAACCAAAAGACGUUCAGAAGCUAAUGUUGCGUCCGAGACUGAUGAGAAGUUUGGGUUCCAUUCAGGAUCAGACUUUACAUUUGAAGAGUUUCAGAGAUAUGCCUAUACUUUCAAGGAGAGUUACUUCAGAUCAAAGGAUGCUAAGGAGGGUUCAAAUUCUGUUGAAACUAGAAGCAAAAUAUGGAAACCCUCUGUGGAAGAUAUUGAAGGUGAAUACUGGCGAAUAGUUGAGCAACCAACAGACGAGGUUGAGGUAUGUAACUAAGGUUUUUCAGUGCCUUUAACUGACUUUAUGAUUAUGGAAUGCACUCUUAUCUUAUAAAUGGUGGAUGCCUUUUUCUUUCAUAUUUCAGGUUUACUAUGGAGCUGACUUGGAAACAGGAGUAUUUGGAAGUGGGUUUCCUAAGGCAUCGUCUAUGGUAACCGAAGGUGAUUCGGAUCAGUAUGCAAUGUCUGGUUGGAAUCUAAAUAAUUUCCCACGCCUUCCCGGUUCUGUACUGUCUUUUGAAGCAAGCGACAUCUCAGGAGUUCUAGUCCCAUGGCUUUAUGUUGGGAUGUGCUUUUCUUCAUUUUGUUGGGUAUGUCAUGCUAUCAACAUGGUCAAAACAUGACCCUCCAAUUUUUUUCAUUGCUUCCAUAUUAGACAAAAAGAAAGCAUUAUCUUUGGGCUUACUGUUAUGCUUAAUUGCUCUUUUUUUUUUUUUUUUUUUUUUUGUGUGGUUUGUAACAGCAUGUUGAGGACCACCACCUCUAUUCCCUAAAUUAUCUGCACUGGGGUGACCCAAAAGUAUGGUAUGGAGUGUCUGGAAGUCGUGCUCAAUCUUUGGAACGUGCAAUGAGAAAGCAUUUGCCGGAUUUAUUCGAGGAACAACCUGAUUUACUCAAUGAACUGGUAAGAAGAAAGGUUCUAUCCACAACUUUUUUGUCAACCUAUGCAAUAAUUUAUUGCGAUUGUUGUUUUGUUUUUUUUAAAUCACACACCAAUUGAUGAAAUAAAUAUUUUACGUUGUUAUAUUUUUUUGGCUUCACUCUGGUUUUCAAUUUAACUUGUGGUAAUAAAUGGUUGUUAAAAUUAGCUAAGGCAUUAGAAUAAAGUAAUGUGAAGUCCUUUCUAAGCAGUAGAAGAAGUGUCAUAAGGAAAUCUGCAAAUAUAUUUGUUUGGCCAACAGGUUGUAGCACACUAAUUGGUAUAUAGGUGCAAGAGUCAAACCUAUCUGUGAAUAUUUAGGUACUGACCAAUGGUUUUCUGGCACCACUAGACACACACACACACAUAUAACAAAAUACUACAGCCUAUCAUUUUUGUUAAGGUAGUGGACAUUAAGAGUAGAGUUGCUUUUGUAAAGCAGCCUAAUGUUAAAUUUAAUUAUUGUCCUAGUCUGAUAAGACUCUGAAUUAUGUUAUCAUGGAUUGAUAUAUCUGAUCUCAUUCCUUCCCUAUUUUUGUUCUGUCUUUAUCCUGGUGAUAUCAUUUAUCAGUUUCGAUCACUUCCCUGCACAUGUCUGCCCACGUCACUGGGCUUCUGACAUCCUUUGUUUCAACUUUGCUUUUAAAUUUUUUGUGAGUAUCUCAGACACUAAGAUUACAGCUUUCAUGGGUCAGGUCACUCAGCUAUCUCCUUCAGUUUUAAAGUCUGAAGGUGUACCUGUGUAUCGAGCUGUCCAACAUUCUGGGGAGUUUAUUCUUACCUUUCCGAGGGCAUACCAUUCUGGAUUUAAUUGUGGCUUUAACUGCGCCGAGGCAGUGAACGUGGCCCCUGUCGAUUGGUUAGAACAUGGGCAAAAUGCAGUUGAGCUAUACAGUGAGCAGUGUCGCAAGACAUCAAUCUCACACGACAAAUUGUUACUGGGAUCGGCACAGGAAGCUGUACAGGCUCUUUGGGAGCUAUCAGUUCUUGGAAAGAAAACUACAAGAAAUUUGAGCUGGCAAAAUGUUUGUGGCAAAGGUGGUGUCCUCACCAAAGCAGUUAAGGUAAAUCUCUCUCUCUCUCUCUCUAAAAAUAUAUAUAUAUAUAUAUAUGUAUAUAAUAUCUAUCUGUCUAUCUCUAUCUCUUUUACCUCUCCCUUUCUACCACUUAGCCUAGAAAUAGCUACAUGAACUCUGGCAUGCUUGUGCCCUUAUGAGUAGAUAAACUAAACCAUAUUUUGUAUGACAAUGACUGUUCACAGACACGAGUGCAAAUGGAGGAGGAAAGACUAGAUCGUCUUCCAAUUUGUUUGAAGUUGCAAAAGAUGGAAAGAGACUUUGAUUUGAACGAGAGAGAAUGUUUUUCUUGCUUCUAUGACUUACACUUAUCUGCUGCCAGCUGCAAAUGCUCUCCUGAUCGAUUUUCAUGUCUCAAACAUGCAAAGCAUUUUUGUUCAUGUGACAUCAGUCAUAAAUAUGUCCUUCAACGCCACACUAUCAGUGAAUUAAAUAUGCUGGUUGAAGCAUUGGAAGGGAGAGUAGAAGCCAUGAAAGUAUGGGCAUCCAAGGACCCUGUAGUAGUUUCUAUAGACGGUACUGAUUGGCGUACCACUAAGUUGGAUCAAGAAAGUAGCAUGUCUCAUAAGAGAGUCAAGUCUUGUAAUCCAAGGGAAACUUCAUCUUGUUGUCCUGUUUCGGAAGAGAAGGUCAACAUAAAUGCAUCUUGCAGUUCGUCUAGUCAAGUUUCUUCUGCGGUUGUCCAGUCAGGGUCACAGCAUGGAGCUUUUAGUUUAAGUGCAUCUCGCAUCACUAUGGAUAGGCAAAAUGACGAUGAAACUCUGGCCAUGAAUGAUGAGGAAAAGAUGGGGAAUGAGUGCUGUUUUGAUUUAAAUCUUAAUUAUAUGUCUGAUGAACGUGAAAGCAGGACGAUGCACAUAUCUGAUGACUUUGAUAACAAGGCUGUCACAAUUGAGGAGGAUGCAUCUACUUCCGUGUCUAAUCAAGAGAAAGUUUGUAGUUCAGAUGUAGCCAGAGACCCAGACAUGAUGAAAGUUGAUAAUGGCUACCCUGCCUGUUCAAGGGACAUCAGGAAUAGUUGUGCGAGUGAUGGCAAUAAGCUGUUCGGUGUUGAACUUUGCUUACCCCAUCCUUCUUCAAACAAACAGUCAAUAAACUUUUCAAAAACUGAAAUUGUCAAGGAUUCAGGUGUAAACAUAUCCUUGACUGACCAAAGCUGUCAAUUACAGAAGUUGAGUCCUUCGGUUGAGCCUAUAGAUUUUGGAGCUGUUGUGUCUGGAAAGUUGUGGUGCAGUAAGCAGGCCAUAUAUCCAAAAGGUAUAUUGGCUGUAGUGCAAUGGUUUCUUGGAUUCUAAAUUUUUUCCUCUCCUUUCCUUUCUUGUGUGGAAUCCUUUUAACUUUUUUUCUCUACAUAAUGGUUACCUUACCUUUUGCAGGGUAUAAAAGCCGAGUUAAAUUCUGUAGUGUGCUUGACCCAACAAAAGUUUGUAGCUAUAUUUCAGAAGUUCUCGCUGCUGGGCUUCUCGGGCCUCUAUUUAAGGUUUGUCUCUCUCAACCUCCAAAAUAUAAUAAAAUCAAAGAUUGGGGGAAUCUAAAUUUCAGAGCUACAGCUGAUUAUUAUUUCUUCGAAUAUUUUUCAUAUCAUUUCUAUACGAUUUGGGUCCAGUAAAACCAUCUUUUCUUUUUAAAACUUUUCUCUAUUGCACAACAUGUUUAGCCAUUUCUUCUUUGCAAUUGCAUUGAAUUCCACAGUUUAUUACUGUACUAAACUAGUGAGCAUAAAAUACGAUUAUACUUCUAAAGAAAGGCUCUAUAAAAUUAUUCAUUUUAUUUAGCUUGUGCAUUUUUCAGUGGUUUCCUUUCAUGAAUUUCAGGUUACUUUGGAAGAAUGCCCUGGUGAGGCUUUUGCUAAUGUAUCGGCCGAGAAGUGCUGGGAUAUGGUACUGCAGAGACUAAACCAAGAAAUAAAGAGACGGAGUAGUCUAGGGGAAAGUGGACUGCCUUCUUUGCAGCCUAGCAUUAAUGGCCUUGAAAUGUUUGGAUUUCUCUCCCAACCCAUUAUUGAGGUACAGUAACUUAUAUUAUUUUCUCCUCUCCCUGUAGCAAGCAGAAAGCUAUGUUGUUUCUGUCAUUAUUUUUUUUGUGUGCCUAAGAAAAUAAAUUAUACAACUUAAAAAGUAUUGUAUGAUCAUGAGAUAGACGGUGAGAAAUAUGCAUAGGAAAAACCUAAAUGCUGAGCUUUUACUGGGCAUGCUAAUUGCCUUGGCACAAAACUAUAUUCUCUGUUUUGGUGUGUGAUUGAUGAUGAACAAAAAAGAAUUUGUGCUCCAUUCUCAAAAAUAAAAAUUCAAUCCAGUAUCUAAUUCGGAUUUUAUUCCUCCCAGGCUAUUGAGGCCCUCGAUCCCGACCAUCAAUGUGUGGAGUACUGGAAUUACAGGCGUAUUGUCCCAUUGGCGUUUGGCAAUGUUAGUGAAAUCAAGCAGCAUUCGUUUGAAUCAAGUAGAAGUCUAGGAGAAACAGAUAUGAAAAUUUUUGGUAUUACUUUGACAAGGCAGGACCGGGAUAAUCCAUUGGUGGAAGGAGAUCAUCCAACCGAAGAGAUGCAGUUAGUGUUGCGAAGACUAUUAAAGAAGGCAGAUUCCGAAGAGUUGAGGACAUUACAGAGAGUAUUGUGCAGUGAGUCACAAAGUUCAAAAUGGAGAGUGGCAUUCACAUCAUUGAUUGAAGAGAUCCAGAGAAAUGUAGAUAGUUAAGGAAAAGUAAUGAUAGGUCCCCUCAUUCUUUCUCAUUCAAGGUAGCUUCUUUUCCUAUUUAGUCAUUCUUUAGGCCUAUUCUUUGCUAAAAAAAAUCCAUAACAGGGAAAGAGAGGGAUUCUGGGUCUUGAGUUGGGCACAAAAUUUUGUAAUGUGGCUACUCGUGACUGAAUCUAGAGUUUUGAUUUGGUGAGGCCAAUGCCUUCAAUCGGUCACAGAAAGUCUUUCGGUUCAUCAGAAAUUUUAAUUGGUGAUAGGAUCUGGUCUUAAUCAGCUAAUUUUUCUGAUCUUAUUUCAUUAAUCAUUGAAAAAUAAGUGUACACAAUAAAAGUGCUGUUUCAUAUCUUUCAAUUGAAUGCUUGAAUUAACUGAUAACAUGCAACUCUUUUUUUCUUCCUAUGUUUUGUUUUGCAGAAACGAGAAGGGUGAUUGAAAAGGAUUGCCAAUAGAAGCAUUAAAAAAGAACUACAUUUCUCACCAUAUAACCCUCUGAUUUUCUUUCUAUUAAAAAAACCCUUACCGAUCUGAAAAAAACAAAAAUCCAUAAUUACAUUCCGAAUUUUCUUUGAAGAAAAGAGAGGGAUGGAAUCGCACUUGAUUUAAUUGAAGGAGGAAACAAAUGUAUCAUUGAGGACAUAGCUAAGUUGCAUUCAUAAGCAAAGAAUACAAUAAGAACACCAUUGCAUGGUGAGAUCAGAAUUACAGCAAAAUGCACAAUUUUGGAACAAGAAAUUGAUGAACAUCAACACAAAACUCACACAAUUAACAAAUUGUAGUAGCCGCAAAAGAAUCCUAAAUCCCAAUUAAUCUUGAUAAAGAAGUCAAGAUCAUCCUCAUCAAGAUGAUGUGCCAAAUGUGCGAGAACCCCAUCCGAUAAUGAGAAUUAGCAGAGACGAUCUUCAACUACCAAGCCUAGUAGUUCCUCUGAAUCUUGAACCCCAAAACCGCACAAGCAACCAAGAACCAACCAACCGGAAACUCAACACAAUGGCACGGCGGCGCUGCAUCAGACCUCCACCCGCCGCCCACGAUUUCUCCCGCGGGGGAAAACAACCCUGGAGAUGGCGUCGGCGGAGGCGGCGGUAGAGGCUGCUGCUGCCCCUGCUGCGAAUUGGGCUUGGGCAAAAGGUUAAACCCAUCACCGUAAACAGAGUACUCAAGAAUGGCUCCGACGCCGUGGACAGCCACGGUGGCGCUGAUGUAGAGGUCGGGCUGGGUGAGAGGAGCGCCGUCGAGGGAGAAGUUGGAGCGGGAGGCGUUGGUGAUGAGAAUGGACUUGCCGGGGAGCAGAGUGGGAAGGCGAGACUUGGGCUCGAAGAGCUGGAGCUCGGAGAAGAUGAGGCGCUGAGGGACCACGUGGUAAGGGAACAUGAAGGGGUCGGUGGUCGGCAUGCGGUUCAAGGCGUCGUCUUGAGGGAUGAAGAGGGUCGCGCUCAGAGGAAGGACCAGUGGGUUCACGCCGGUGAUGAUGUUGACCCAGUUCCCGAAGUCGCCGGCUCCGAUUAGAGCGUCGAUUAUGUUGUUGAGUUGUUGGGGUGUGGAGGUUGGGGAUGGCGGAGAUGGAGGUUGCGAUGAUGAUGGCGGCGGAGGAGGUGGCGGUGGCGGUGGUGAUGAUGAUGGUGAUGGCGAUGGGGGUUGAGGGGGUGAUGGUGGUGAGGGAGAGGCUGCAAUGAUGGCUGUGAAGAGAGUGGUGAGAAAGAUGAAGAGCAGAGAAGAAUGGUGGCUGGACGCCAUGGGAGAAAAAGAGAGAAGCUUUGAGAUCUUGGUAGAAUGUUUUCUUCGUUUAUUGUGUUUUGCACUUUGAGAAUCUUUCUGGGUUUGAUGGGUUUGUUAUACUGUUAGAAUAGUGAAGAAAGUAACGAACUUUAGCGCCAAAAUCCCUUUGGAGGAAGACAGAAGGAUAAUGCUUGUAAUUGAAUGAUCAAGACGAGGGUAUUUUGGGGAUGUUUAUUGAUUGGGUUGGGCUGCUUCAGUAAUCAAUCCCAAGCCCAGUAAACCAGAUAAUUGGGCCGAAACCCCAAAACCUUCAUCGUCUUCAUAUAAAUACCCCCAAAUUCGAGCCACUGAAACCCUAGGCCAAAAAUGACGACCAGUUUGAAGAAGAAUCGGAAGAAGAGAGGUCACGUCAGCGCCGGCCACGGCCGAAUCGGGAAGCACAGGAAGCAUCCCGGUGGUCGUGGAAAUGCCGGAGGCAUGCACCACCACCGGAUCUUGUUCGACAAGUACCACCCGGGGUAUUUUGGUAAAGUCGGCAUGCGCUACUUCCACAAGCUCCGCAACAAGUUCUACUGCCCCAUCGUCAACGUCGACAAGCUCUGGUCUUUGGUGCCGCAGGAGGCGAAGGACAAGGCGGCGGCGAACAAAGGAAAUGACGUGCCGUUGAUCGACGUGACGCAGUUUGGGUACUUUAAGGUGUUGGGGAAGGGGGCGUUGCCUCAGAACCAGCCUGUUGUGGUGAAGGCCAAGCUCAUUUCUAAGACCGCUGAGAAGAAGAUUAAGGAAGCUGGUGGCGCUGUUGUUCUCACCGCCUAGGAUUUUAGGGUUUAGAUUUGGGGGUUUUUUUGCUUAUUUUCGGAGAAUUGGGGUUUUGGUAGAUUUUUUCUUCGCCUUUGCUUAAUACAAACAUCAUGUUAUUUUGUGUUAUUGAGCUUCUUGAAUGCUAAAGGUUGAAACUUUUGUUGCAAUGCGUUGCUUUAUUGUCAACAUUAAUAUGAGAAUUUGAUUGCUUUCAAAACUUAAUUGAAAAGUUUUUGGUUGUGCAUUUUAAUUUUUGAUUCAUGGAUAACCUACAAAGCAUUUUUGCAUGGUGUUUUUAAGGCCACAGUGAGCAUUAUUAUAUGAUUCUAUUAUUAUAAAAAACUAGGAGAUUUCUGCCCCCUUUUUGGAUGCAGAGAAAACAAUCCUAAGCAAUUGCCUUUUUCAUCAUAAUUUGAACUAUAUUUGGGGCAUAGGGAUUCAAUCUCUGGAUCAAUUGGAAGAUCCUAUAAUAUUCUGGUUCUGUUUUUUAUCAUCCAAAAUAUUUUGGAGCAUGAAAUGCAAAGAUCAAGAACUGAGAUUACAAAGUGUUCCAAAGAGUGAUGAGUGUUGUUUUUACAUGUUUACAAAACAAGCUCUCUUUCAUUGUAUAUUAAUGUACCAAAAUCAACACAUUAUAAGGUAUAUGGGGCAAUCUAUGUAAGGUCAUCUUCGUCCAGUGGUUCUUGCUCGUCGGAAGCAUGUGUCUUCAGUGCACUCACAUCACCUGUGGGCAGUUUCCUGGCGAGCCUGAUGACCUGCACCCAUUUUAGUUUAUGAUAUGGCAUGGUCAAACAGGGCAGAAUAAAAAAAUCCAAGAUAUUUAUAUUUCAGUCCAAUAUUUUAGGGUUAAUCAAGCAACAGCGUCAACUUGUCUCCUGAGUUUUUCAAUAUGUUAUGUCAUGCCAAAUUCAUGAGACAAAGCCAGAUAAUAAUUUCAGUAUCUUAAGAUUUAAUCUAUUUAAGCAUUCAAUAAUCCGAAAAGCAAAAUCAUGCCCAAGCUCCAUUGUAUAUAAAAGACAGAUUUAACUGAUAACAUGCCUAUAUCUUUUAAUCAUACCUAGGUUAAUACAAAUUCAAAUAAACAAAGGAGGCAAACAAAAUAUAUAAUACCAUGUGAUCAAGAUUAUUAACCGUGCUUGACUGAGAAAGCCGUUUAAUUUCUUCAACGUCACCUUCUGUGUAAGCAGAAAAAAGUUUACUUGCAAAACGGCAUUGAUCACUUCUCGAAAAGGUGUCAACCCUAUACAGAACCAAAAGCAAAAGGCCAAUAUUAGGUGAGUUACAAACAGAGUUGCAGUAGCCCCCUCCAAAUUUGGAAAAUCAGAAGAAUUCAAUAGUUUUACUUACUGGGAGCAAUCAUUGUAGCAUUUUUCUGCUUGUUUGAUGUCAUGAACAUAGAGGUAAACAAUUAUUGCACUAAGAUAUGCCUGUAUCAACAAUGGUUGUAAAAUUACUUCUCUUAAACAUGAAACAUAAAGUGAUUAAAAAGAGUGAGUAAUGCACAAAAGCAAGAUGGACACCAAAAGAUGUUUCCAAAUGCAGAUGCUAGUUAAGAACUUAAGAUUAGUUGCACACAAACAAAAGCACAGAUUCAUUACAAGAGUAAUCAAACAAACAAAGUUUUACAUGUACUUGCACACUAAAAUGAAGGAGUGUGACAAAAUUACUUUUCACAGUGGAAUAGUCUGGACUCGGGGAAUAUGUAAAAGGGCCACAAGGAUGAGAGUUUCUGUAAAACAAGGAUACAAGAAUACAAGAUGACUAAUUAUAAGUUUUCAUGAGAGGAGAAAUGCUAAUUACUACAGAUGCAACCAAAACUAGGCCUCCUUAUCUAAUGCAGCCACAGGGAAAUGAAAGGGGAAGGGAUAGAAAAUACAUAAUACUAGUUGUAAGUUCUUUGUUUGAAGAUGCUCUUGCUCAAAAAGAGAAAAAAAUAUAGAGUGAAUUUUCAUGCUUAGUACCUCAUGUAGCACAGGCACUUCAACAAGGAAACCAUUUCAAUGUUGUCUUCAUAUCAAAUACCAAUACCUCUACACUAGUCCAGGAUAAUAUAUCUCAUUAAAUACAUCCAACAAGAAAUCCUUUCACACCUUGCAUUGGCUAUUGGUAGCAUUACACUUAUCAGCUGCUAAGCCCCAUCUCAACAGAAAAGCAGCAGCAUCUGUGUACCUGUAAGAACCGCUCGAAGGGUAUGAUUAAACAUAUAGCGAAAAGCCACUCAAAGGCACACAAUUUAGUAUUUACUGGGGAAAAAAAAUGACCAUUUUCAAACAGCAAAUCACUACUCUUUUCUAAUAGAUUUUAAACCUCAACCCAUUCCAAAACAUUAGCCUCAAUUAAGCCAUAAGGAAUAACAGUUAAUUGCCUGAUUAUAAAUGCUGCCAGAAAACAGCUACAACUGGAUUCUACACAAUCAGAUCUGUUUGCCUAAAUAAUGUAUUUCAUCCUCUCAAUCCACUAAAUGGAUAAUAAUCAUAAUUUGCAUCAUCCUCCCAAUAACUAAAAUGAUAAAUUGCCAUAAUUUAAAUAACAUAUGGGAUGCAUUUUGGGAUCUUACUUCUCAAGUUUUAUAUAAACACUAGUGGCAGCACGAUAUAGAUCAAAGGCCAUUUGAUCCUUGUCAUCAUCUUCAAGAAGAACACAAGCAUCAGUGUAAAGUUGAAUAGCUUCAUCAGGAACAGAAUCUUCCAGAGCUCUGUAAUAAGGUUAUCAUUUCAAAAGGUUAGCAUUUCAAAUAUUCUCUAAAGCUGUAAUCCCACCUCAAGCAUAUACAGACUAAAAUAGCAACUAAAAAAAACAACAUAUGGAAAGAGGAAAAGAAAAGAAGAGAAACAGUUUCAUUUCACACUGGAAACUCUCAACUGAUCAAAAUUUUUACUAGCAAAGAAAAGUUCAGGUAACGUCCUCUACAUGUGUGUGUAGUUUCGUAAAACAAAAUUGUAAACUCUUUUAUGAGAAAAAUAAGACAACAAAGCUAAUUGCAGGUAAAUUAUGGUUAACAGUUUAAUAAUUAGCAACUUCAUUCCAUUUGCCCAACUCCAUGCAUGUGGAUGACCAAUUCAAUUAAUUGCAGGUAAAUUAAUACUUUUGAAUAUUUCAUAACAUUUGAAGAUUAAAAACCAUCGUUUAGAUUGAGCCGUUGAAAAUAAUGGGUAGAAUUUUAUGAAAUUCUUCACAUGAAACACUUUAUAUUGCUUACUGCAAAUAUGGGUGAAUUUAUUAACCCAAACAGGAAUGUAUUUUUCAUGGGAGCCCUGGGAACUGACAAGAAUUUUGAUCAUGUGAAUGCCAAGAGAGUUUCACCAAACAUUGCAACUUUUAAGAAGGAAAAAAAAAGAUUCGUAGCUGCAAAAAGCAAUAGGGUGAACCCUGUGCUUACCGGGCCCCUUUCGCAAGAGCAUCUGAUGCAGGUUGUGAUCUCCCACACACAACGUACAAUUCAGAUGCCCUUCUAUAGAAAUCAGCAACUUCAUUCCAUUUUCCCAACUCCUUUGCUAAAGCAGCAGCUGACUCCAUAUGCUUUGCAGCAUCCCAGGGUCUGAGUUGGUUGUAAAGGAUAUAGCAAGAGUGCAGUUAUCGAGAUCAUCAGACAAAAUUAGACAACGCCUGAAGGACAGAACAUACUAGAAAAAGAGAAUGAGGAUACGAAGAGAUCAAUUCUUGUCCUUUUGAUGCUUUUUCCAAUGCUUCCUUUGCUUUCUCAUAAUCCUUGGCAAUCCUAAACCCAUUAGCUACAACAAAACCAGAUUUUAGGCCGAAAUCCCCAUCAACCAUUGUAAUUAAGGCUUACAGUUGCACAGAACAUACAUACCAGCUUGUUCAUACAGAAGAGUAGCGCUUUUCCAAUCUGCACUCCACCUUGUAAGACUGAGCCUCGUUCUAAGAUAACAGAAAUUAAAGGCAUUCAGUAAUUCAGAAGAGGAAAGUAAUCAAAUUUUAUUACUUUCAAAAAGAAAAGACAAAGCUUGACUUCUUCUUCUCUUCCCAAUGAACAAACAAACAAAGCUUAAGCAAAAUCAAAAUGUCGGUUACAGAAUUCCAUAAUUUAUUCAUCACUCAAUUCUUAGUAUGCUCUUCUAGAGUUAGUAUACCAACUUCAUAUGCAGAUUACUGAAAGAUUCAAAAUUUAUACAACUUCAUCCAAUUUCACACUGACCCAGAAAACAAAAAUUGAAGAAAAUGAAUGCUCUUUUUCAUUCUACCAAUCAAUUACUACCAUAACUAAUCGAAAUCAUUGGAAAAUGUUUCUAUGUGUUAAGAAUUAACUGACAAACUUUGGAUCUUCUAAACUGAAUCAAAUGCAUAGACUUUCAUAAUAAUACCAUAUAUGUUUAUAAAUAAAUGAUUGGAUGUGAAAAGAGAUACUGACAAUUUAUCGGCUUUGGCCAUCAACUUGUUUGGAUCGGAACCCGCCAUGGCUGAACUUUGGGUGUAAGCUUUCUUCUCUUCUAGUUUUACAGCGCAGUUUGAUUGGCCUUUUGGGCUGUUUUAGGCCUUCGUUUCCUUUAAGCUCGCUGCAAUAGCCAAUCUGCCUCCGUUUAUAUUUUUACUUUACAAUUUUACUUUUAUUUAUUUUAUCUUUUUACCUUUUCAAGCUUAAAAAACAUGCAAAGAAAUUAUUUUAUUUUAUUUUUAAUUUAAAGAAAGAUCCUAUUUUUUUUUUAAAAAAAUUCUGAAUAAGAAUUUGUGAGUAUUUUGUAAUGUAUAGGAUAGAGAUUAAUUAUUUGAAAUGUAUUUUGCCUUUUAUCAACAAUUCUUUUUUUAGUGGAGCUUAUCUAACUUCAAAUUCACCCCUAAUUUAAACUGCAAACAUGUUGAGAUUUUUAGGCUGCAUGCUAUUGUCUUCAAUUUUUGUUUAUGAUAUAGGGUUAUUUAUGUUUUCAAACAUUUAGCUUUUAGUGGUUUUUUAGGACAUUCAUCAUUGUGGGAACCUAAUUAAAUCAAAAACCUAUGUCAAAUAAUUCCUUCCAUUUGGGGAUUAUUUGACCUAAUUGGGAAUUAUUCAAUUUAAUUGGGGAUUACUCAAUUAAAUAGAAUAUUACCUAAUCGGGUCGAGAAUUAAUUUUAUUCCUACCCCAAUUCCCAAUUAAAUGAGGAGUUGCCUAAUUGAAUCAGGAUUUGAUUUGAUACCUACCACAAUUAGGGAUUUGAUUUACCCUAAUUAAUCAAAUCAAUUCCAAAAAGGGGAGGAAUAAUUCCCUUCCAUCUACGGAAUUAUUCCUCUGAAACCCUAGCCUCCGAGACUACUAUAAAAGCAUAGCCACACACAAUGGUUGAGGUACGCCUAAAUUCUUACUAAAGCUCUGCAGAAAUUAUCUCUCAAAAACCCUAGCCACCUCCUCUCUUUCUCUGUCUUACACAAGGCUCCGGCCACCACACACGGCUCCGGCCACCCGGUUUUCCUUGAAUUACCUUACCUAACUUAGGCAUCGGAGGGCCUUUGGCCAACACCCCUCGGGUGUGGUCCUUUUACUCCGAUCUGUUUUGCAGGGAGAAAGAGAGGCGGAGAAGACGAAGGAAUCUUGGGCGAAUAUUCUCCCGUGAGAUUAUUUGCACAAAUAAAUUGGUGCUUUCAUUGAGAGCACGAGAUAUAUUCAAAGCGUGCUCCAAAUCCAUCUUUCACACAUUUUUUCAAACAACCAUGGUUGAUACAAGACGUACGAAGAGUAACGCCACCACGAUGGGCCCAUCUCAUGGUUUCGUGGUGGAAACCUCAAUGCAACCGCACGGAAUCGUGGCUGCCAACACCUUGCAGUCGUCCUCUAGUGCUUUGCAGCCGCCUUCAGCUGCUGGAAUUGCAGAACAGCCGCCACAAGACCCUGGGACCUCCACAGCCUUGCAGUUGCCAGUGCCGAUUACCGGAGCUACUCUGCCUCGCUGUCCUGCCGUCGGAUCACAGCAGCAGCCACACCACUCAACUACCGGAUUUGCUGCUCAGCCCCAUGGCUACUCCGACGUCAUCCCAGUCUUGGAGCAGAUCCAUUCUCUCCCUCCUUUGCGAUCACACUCGACAUAUGCACCUGUGUACGCAUCUAAUGGAGCCCUAGCCCAUUUGUCGUUGGGCCCGAUGCACAGCACUCUACUUGACCCGCGCAGUCAGGUGGACCUUAACUCACGGGUCGAUCAACUCACACAGAAGGUCGAUGAUCAGAACAACCUGAUUGGCCAGCUACUCAGGCAGAUCAACUUGAAUCAAGGCCCUAACCUUGGACCCCGUGACGAGGAGAUGAGGGCACACCAGCAUGUCGGCGAGCAGUUCGAGAGGUCCUAAGCUGGUCAGACAAGGGCAAACCGGCAGAGGAGAGAUCGAGAUCGAGAUCGAGUAGAUGAGACGCAGACAGCCGCGAGCCGUACUCUGAGCCGUUCGGGGCUAGAACCAAGGACCAAUGUGCUCGAGAGGCUAGGCCCACAGACUAAUGUCCACGCCCGCUUAGGCCCACAAUCCAAUGUCCACGCCCGCUUGGGCCCACAAAGAGCUUGAGUUCGUGAGCAGUCGCGUGAUGAACGCAACGACCGACGCCCACCAACCCGCUCGAGGGCCAACACGCGACGGCAAGCUGUAGAGGGAUCAUUCCAAGCCCAAUCUCCUAAUCUGCCCCACGGGCAGGGCACCCAAGGGGAUCGACCCUUGGGAACCGAGGAAGGAGUUAGCCAGUCACGCUCGAGACACCAAAGACGUCGACCUGAGCGACCCUCCUUGCGGGUAGAAGAUGAUGAUCGACGCCCACCAACCUGCUCGAGGACCAACACAUGGCGACAAGAUGUAGAGGAAUCCUCCCAAGCUCAAUCUUCUAAUCUGCCCCACGGGCAGAACACCCAAGGGGAUAGACCCUUGGGAACCGAGGAAGAAGUUAGCCGGUCGCGCUCGAGGCACCGAAGACGCCGGCCCGAGACUCCAGUCCUGCGAGCAGAGGACGUCGAGAAGCUAGUAAAUGACCGACUCCAAGCUCUCCAACUUAAAGGAAGCGCGGAGGAGGCCCUGCAUAAGGAAAUUGAUCGAGUUGACUGCUCGCCCUUUACCGACAAAGUGGAACGAGCUCCUCCACCGAAGCGGUUCACAACGCCAUCCAUCACUCCAUUCAAGGGGAACUCUGACCCUGAGAGCCAUUUGAGGCACUUCAAGAGCGCCAUGAUCCUGUACAAGGUAGAUGAUGCCCUGAUGUGCAAAGUGUUCGUGAUGACCCUGCGAAGAGCAGCUCAAGACUGGUUCCACACUCUACCGUCCACGUCGAUAGGAAACUUCAAGGAGUUGGCCUUCAUCUUCACAAAGGAGUACACCUCCUACAAGACGGUCAGAAAGCAUGCAGACCAUCUGUUCAACCUGCGCAAGAAGCCAGACGAGUCUCUACGAGACUACCUGAGACGGUUUAAGGCUGAAAAGGCUAACAUCAUAGGAUGCAAUGACCAAGUUGCAUCCUCAGCUUUCAAGAAGGGCUUGCCAACGGAGCACGAGCUAUACCGAGAACUGGCCAUAACACCAAGUCAAACCUUGGCAGAAGUGUUCGCGACGGCAGAACGCUACGCACUUUGGGACGAUGAUCGAAUCGCCGCAAAGAAAGCCAGCAAGCAAGUUGAUCACCCGACGAAGCAGGCAAGCCAAAAGAGCAAUCAGUUCGAGCAAAAAGCCCGAGAUAAGCGCAGAUCGCGGCCCCGAGAGGGAAGCUCAGAAAUUGAGACCUUCACUGAGUUCGCUAUCCCAAUUCAUCAGAUCCUGGCUCAAGUGAAGGACAAGCCUUGGGUGAGGAGACCGCCACCCAUGAAAGGAGACCCCUCUAAGAGGAACACCAGUAAAUACUGCGCAUUCCACGGGGAGCACGGUCAUUACACCAACAAUUGCAAUGCCUGGAAAAGGCAUCUGGAGGAGCUGGUCAUAGAAGGUCAUUGCACAGAAUUCGUCGCAAAGAAGGCCAUCCAACAGAUCGAGGAUCGUGAUGCGGCUGCCAAGGAACCUCCCCAAAAGGUCAUUCGAAUCAACACCAUUCUAGCUGACUCUUAGGAGUCCGGGUUGACCACUAGGGAGCGCAAGAGGAAGAUCGCGCAGGCGACUUAUGUCUCCCAAGUCACAACAGGAGUACCCGUUAUCGUGGAUACACCCAUCAUUGGUUUCCAAAAGAAAGACUUGAUCGGGCUUGACCUGCCGCAUAAUGACGCCCUAGUCAUCUGCAUUCAGAUUGAACAAGCUGUGAUCGAGCGAGUUCAUGUGGAUGAGGGCAGCGCAGCCAACAUCCUGCAACUAUCUGUCAUCCAACAGAUGGGAUUGGAGCCCAAGAUUAGCAAGCUUGCAAGGUCGCUCAUUGGCUUCAAUGGGGCCACAUCAAUCACUGUUGGACUAAUCGACCUUGACGUCCACUCACCCCCAGUAGUCUGCUCGCAAACCUUCAUGGUCAUCGACGAGAUCUCCCCGUACAACGGAAUCCUGGGCCGACCGUGGAUCAGCAAGAUCGAGGCUAUCACAUUUGCUCUACACCAGAAGAUUCGCUACCCCAUCCCAGGAGGCAGAAUCGGGCAGAUCAAUAGUGACCAAGCCAUGGCAAGAAGAUGCACAGCUCACGGACUCAAGAAGAGCAAGCAGAUGCAGUUCACCCCAGUAAUGCAAGCUGCCAACGAGGGACGAAGCUCUCCCAGCGGACAAGCAAGCUCGAACGAGAAGGGAGCUAUUACCCCACAAUAGCAAUUAAUGAGCCAGGAUCAAGGCGAGGGAAUCCGCCCGGAAGACUCCCCUGAAAAGGGUUGGAAGUCUGAGGAUGACGUUGAGUUAGUACCCCCUGAUCUUGGCCAGCCAGACAAAGAAGCGCAGAUCGGCUCGCGCCAGAAUCCAAACAAGAAGGAUCGAGAGGAGGGAAUUCGCCCGGAAGGCUCCCUUAAAGAAGGUUGGAAGCCUGAGGAAGACGUUGAGUUGGUACCCCUCGAUCCUAACCAGCCAGACAAGAAAGCGCGGAUCGGCUCGCGCCUAAGCCCAGACGAGAAGGUGGAGCUUACCACCUUCCUCCAAAACAACAAAGACAUGUUCGCGUGGUCACCAUCUGACAUGCCCGGCAUCGACCCAAACAUCAUCUGCCACCGCCUCCAUGUCAACCCUGCCAGCAAGCCCGUGGUGCAGAAGAGACGUAACUUCGCUCCCGAGCGAGUCGCGAUCAUUGAAGCCGAGAUUGACAAGCUUCUAGCCGCUGGAUUUAUUGAAGAGGUCUCCUACUCAGAAUGGCUGGCCAACGUUGUUCUGGUGGCAAAACAAGAAAAGGGCAAAUGAAGGGUGUGCGUCGAUUACACCGACCUCAACAAAGCAUGCCCUAAAGACAACUUCCCAUUGCCAAGGAUCGACCAGUUCGUGGAUUCGACUUCCGGCAACCAGCUGCUCAGCUUCAUGGAUGCAUACUCUGGCUAUAAUCAAAUUAUGAUGUACGACGAUGACAAGGCGAAGACCUCUUUCAUCAUCGAGAGAGGGACCUACUGCUACAAGGUCAUGCCCUUUGGGUUGAAGAACGCUGGAGCAACCUAUCAAAGGCUCGUGAAUAAGAUUUUCAAGGAGCAGAUCGGUAGAACCAUGGAAGUCUACGUGGAUGAUAUGCUGGUCAAAGCCCCCAAGCGUGGAGACCACCUCAAAAACCUCGCCGAGGCAUUCAGCUUGCUCCGCCAAUACCGCAUGAAGCUGAAUCCAAGUAAAUGCACGUUCGGUGUAUCAUCUGGCAGAUUCUUGGGAUACUUAGUCACACAACGAGGUAUAGAGGCACAUCCACGCCAAAUUAAAGCUAUUCUCGAGAUGAAGUCACCUUCCACAGUGAAGGAAAUACAAAGUCUGACGGGCAGAGCAGCAGCCCUCAACCGAUUCCUCUCGAAGUCUACCGACAAGUGCAGACCAUUCUUCAAAGCUUUGAAGAAAGGGCAAAAAGACAAGUGGGACGAGGAGUGCGAAGUAGCUUUCCAGAGUCUAAAGACCUACCUUACUUCACCUCCCCUGCUCUCGAAGCCAGUUCCUGGUGAAGACUUGUUCGUGUACCUGGCAGUGUCCAACUCGACCGUCAGCUCUGCUCUCAUCCGAGAAGAACUUGGGGCCCAACAUCCGAUAUUCUAUACGUCAAAAGCUCUCCUCGAUGCAGAGACUCGCUACCCAAAAUUGGAGAAGCUCAUUUUGGCCCUUGUCGUUUCUACGAGAAAGCUGCGACCUUAUUACCAAGCUCACCGAGUCGUCGUUAUGACUGACUUUCCUUUGAGAUCAAUCCUCCACAGCCCUUAUGCUUCUCAGCGGCUCAUGAAGUGGGCAAUAGAGCUAAGCCAAUACGACCUCCUCUACCGGCCAAAGACUGCGAUAAAAGCCCAAGCCUUAACAGACUUUGUUGCAGAGUUCACACCAUCAACCGAAGAAGAGAAGCUGGUCAGCAAAAAGAAGGAAAGUUCGAGAGCAAACAAGACCUCCGCGGAACCUGACCAACCCAGAGACAUGUGGCAGCUACGCGUAGAUGGAGCGUCAAACCAGAAAGGAGCUGGAGCAGGCGUCGUCAUUGUCACCCCUGAUGGAACCCUGUUAGAGCAAGCUAUCACACUUGGCUUCCCGGCUUCAAAUAACGAGGCAGAGUACGAGGCAUUGCUCGCUGGCUUGCACUUGGCAAAGGAGCUAUCAAUUAAGAAGCUGGCCAUCUAUUCGGAUUCCCAGCUGAUUACAAGUCAAGCCUCAGGAGAGUACAUGGCAAAACACCCAAGGAUGAUCUUGUACCUUGACAAAGUCCAAGAGCUGUUGGAAGGCGUUUCCCACCUUCACCAUCCAGCAGGUGCCCCGAGCAGAGAACACGCACGCGGAUGCACUGGCAAGCUUAGGAUCAACACUGGAUACCCAGUUCAGACGCUCCAUCCCAGUCGAGCACCUUGACCAGCCUAGCAUAGAAGAGGCAGAACGACUGGACCUAAUGCAGAUCGACGAGGAUCCUAGCUGGCAAGAACCCAUAAUUGACUACCUAGUGAAUGAAAACUUGCCCGAUGACAAGUCCGAGGCCAGGAAAAUCAAGCAGAAGGCUGCAAGAUAUUACAUGAAAGGCGACACGCUUAUCCGUAGAUCAUACUACGGGCCUCAUCUCACUUGCAUCAAGUACCCGCAAACGCUCGAGGUUCUCUGUAAAAUACACGACGACGAGUGUGGAAAUCACGCUGGAGGCAGGUCGCUUGCUCAGAAGGCUCUUAGCAUUGGCUAUUUCUGGCCUACCAUGCGCAAAGACUCUACGGAGUAUGCUCGAAGAUGUGAUCGAUGCCAACGAUAAAAGCCAAUCCCUGGCUUGCCAGCUGAGGAAUACCAUCCACAGAACAGUCCAUGGCCGUUCAUGCAGUGGGCCAUUGACUUGGUGGGACCUAUGCCGACAGCACCUGCCAAUAAGGAGAUGAUGAUCGUUGCCACUGAUUACUUCACUAAAUGGAUCGAGGCCGAGGCUUUAUCUUCUACCAAGGAAGCUGACGUUGAACGAUUCAUCUGGAAGAACAUCAUUUGCAGAUUCGGUUGCCCGCAAUCGAUAGUUACCGACAAUGGUACGCAGUUCGUGGGCAGGCAGAUCACUGCAUUCCUUGCGAAGUAUGACAUCAAGCAACACCUGUCAACCCCCAGAUACCCGCAAGGCAAUGGCCAAGCAGAGGCAUCCAACAAGAUCGUGCUGGACUGCCUAAAGAAAAGACUGGAAGGCGCAGAAGGAAAAUGGGUUGACGAGCUGCCAGAAGUUCUAUGGGCUUAUCGCAUAACCAAAAGGAGAUCGACCGGAGAGACACCGUUUUCCUUGCCCUAUGGGACGGAGGCAAUCAUUCCCCCACACCUCACAGUCCCUUCUAUGAGCAUUGAGGUGGGCAGUCUUGACCAAAACUGCAGGCAGAUGAGAAUCAACCUUGACCUGCUCGAAGAAGAACGAGAAAAGGCCAUUGUUCGAGUUGCCGCCUACCAGCAGCAGUUGACAUCCUACUACAAUAAGAAGGCCAAGAUCAGACAGUUUCGCCCUGGAGACCUUGUGCUCAGAAAAACUUUCAUCACAUCAUCGAGGCAAGGGUCAAAGAAGAUGAAGCCAAAUUGGGAAGGCCUCUACAUGAUCAGCCGAUCUGGGGGCAGAGGAAGCUACACCCUCGACACUCUAGAAGGGAAGGAAAUUCCAAGACAAUGGAAUGCCCACCACCUUCGGAGAUACUAUCCGUGAAGCUCUUCGCUUACCAGCUCGACUCCUAGCAGGCGACAAGCCUUACCUCCAUUGCGAACAAGCUGAUCCCCGGAGCACAAACUCAAUGAAGUCUUUUUCAAGCGCUAUGUCCCCGACAUACGCAUACAGGCGACAAGCCUUACCUCCAUUCCAGACAAGCUGCUCCCCGGAGCACAAACUCAAUGGAGUCUUUUUCAAGCGCUAUGUCCCCGACAUACGCAUACAGGCGACAAGCCUUACCUCCAUUGCAGACAAGCUGCUCCCCGGAGCACAAACUCAAUGGAGUCUUUUUCAAGCGUUAUGUCCCCGACAUACACACAUAGGCGACGAGCCUUAUCUCCAUUGUAGGCAAGCUACUUCACAAGUACAAAUUCAAUGGAGUCUCUUUCAAGUGCUAUGUCUCCGGACACACACUUACAAGAUACAAUGAGAAUUGAAGUUCGAAAGGCAACUGAAAAUUCCAUAACAAAGCGGCCAAUCAGCCAAGUUCAACAAGAAGUAAGAUGGUCAACCAAAGACCACUUAUUGAAAGAAAAUAACAAAGUUCAAAAAUAGCAAAAAUGAACUACAACUACUAGGGAACUUCAGCAGGUGACCCUUAGCCGAUCACAUCCUCAACUGCACUGGCAACAGCCUCAUUCUGCCCAACCGGCACAACUUGCUUAACCGCCUCGGCUGCCUGCUCCUUCGCAUCCGCCUUAGCCUCAUCAGCUGACCCACCUUGACGUUUGUCUUCCUCAAUUGCAGCUUCAUCUGCUAUCUGCUCUUCAACUGCUUCUGCAUCCACAACAUCCACUUGCUCACUCUGAGCGGGGGGUAGGUCAAGACCAGACUGCUCACCGUCAUCAUCUUCGAGAGGGCAGCAAGGAGAAGCACCAUUCUGGCAAUCCAGGUAUCCCAGCUUGUACGCAUUAGCAGCCAUCUCUUUCUUGGAUGCCUCCGUGGCUUCCACAUGGGUAUCAAACUUGACCAGCAGUUUGUCACGAUCCUGGGCCAAAGUAGCAUGCUUACGUUCGAGGCAGAAGUAGGCUUCCUUGCGUUCGAGCAGGGCAGCCAUAAGAGACUUGAGUUCACCAUCCUUUUGGCCAACAGAACUUUUGAGCACGGACAUACUCUCCUUCAUCUCGGAAAUCCUCGCAUCGUGGCGAAUCCGCUCGUUCGAGAGCUUGUCAGUCAGGUCGGCAUUCUUCUUCACCAGCUCGUCGAGCAGGGCAGAAGAGGGGGCAACAUCACGCGAGUUCCGCAUGGCCCCAACAGCAAAAACCAUUCCUUUUUGAAGGUGAUACAUGGCAGCUUCUUCUUGCUUAUCCAAGGGAAGGCUCGAGAAAGCACAAAUGUCACCAGCUCGAUACAAUUGAUCAACUAGCUUAGCACAAGCAGAUGGACUUGACAGAAAGCCUGUUUUCAGCAGAUCAGACACGGGCUCGCCCCCAGCAGAGCUAUCACCAGUUCCCGGACCGGCAGUUCGUGCAAUUGGAGGACUCUUCGCUUGAGCAGACGACUCUUUAGCUCUUUUGGCUGCAACUUGCAACAUUGAGUCAGCCCUGCGCUUGACUGUUCGUGGCCCCACAGAUGAGUCGUGGUUGCUAGGCAGAGGUACAGUCCUCUCAGCUUGAUUCCCAGAUUGGCACGGACGACCCAAACCUUGCUUCCCAGCGGCUUCCUUGCAUGGCAGAUCACGGGUCUUAGGCAGUACGGGCAAAGUCUUGAGCAGAACUUCCCGAACCUCUUGCAUGUCGUUAGCCUUCUUGCUGUUCGUGCUGACGAAGCGUUUGUUCCAUGCAGACGAGGCAUGAGCAACUCCCAUAUGGGCCUUUUGAGGAGGCGAGGCCUCCCUUGUAGAAGACUUGUUCGUGGCAAGAGAAGAUCUCGGUUGCCUUCGCUGUGGAGACGUAUCCACUGAUCGUGAAACUGCAGCUUCAUCUCGAGCAGAGCUACUGCACGCUUUCCCACCAUCGGGGGACUCAGUCGAUGACUCCUCCCGCAUAACUGGCAAGUCACUUAGCUCUAAGCAGCUCGACUUCCGCCUUUCAAUAUCUUCAGCAGAGGGCAGGCCACCGACUUCCUUCCGAUGUUCGCUCAGCAGCCAGCGCCAUUCACGAAACUUGGCGGGGAUGCUCAAAGCUUGUCGAACCUUCGUCAUGUCCGGGUCGAGAACGAGCUUUUUUCGGAUGGCAUCAUCUGCAAGCAUGAGACAAAAGUUAGUUAGACACAGCAAAGAAUUCCAUGGCAACAGUAGCAGAUCAGAAGGAUGCGACUUACCAUCGCAGUAGGUGAGAGGAACGAGCGGACCGUCGCCAAACUCCCCUUCCCAUCUGCCGCUAACCUCCAGCACAUCCUUGCUCCGCACAUGAUCGCCUUGACUCAUACUGAUCCUAGUUCGUGGCACAAAAAGAAGAAGGAAUUGAAGCAAUUUGGAUUAGCCACAAAAAAGAUGACCCAAACUGCUACCUACUCCAGCAGCAGAUCGCGCACCUCCAGCCUAGUUACAGCUGGACAGCCCGAGUAAAAAGCCUCAUCCACGCAGGAGCCCAAUUCAAAUAAGGAAGCCCAGUUGCAGUUGGAUGGCCCAACGGUUAAUCCACAUCUCCUACAUGCCGUCACACGCCACGCAAAAGCUGGGGGGGCAUUUGUGGGAACCUAAUUAAAUCAAAACCCUAUGUCAAAUAAUUCCUUCCAUUUGGGGAUUAUUUGACCUAAUUGGGAAUUAUUCAAUUUAAUUGGGGAUUACCCAAUUAAAUAGAAUAUUACCUAAUCGGGCCGAGAAUUAAUUUUAUUCCUACCCCAAUUCCCAAUUAAAUGAGGAGUUGCCUAAUUGAAUCAGGAUUUGAUUUGAUACCUACCACAAUUAGGGAUUUGAUUUACCCUAAUUAAUCAAAUCCCUAAUUAAUCAAAUCAAUUCCAAAAAGGGGAGGAAUAAUUCCCUUCCAUCUACGGAAUUAUUCCUCUGAAACCCUAGCCUCCGAGACUACUAUAAAAGCAUAGCCACACACAAUGGUUGAGGUACGCCUAAAUUCUUACUAAAGCUCUGCAGAAAUUAUCUCUCAAAAACCCUAGUCACCUCCUCUCUUUCUCUGUCUUACACAAGGCUCCGGCCACCACACACGGCUCCGGCCACCCGGUUUUCCUUGAAUUACCCUACCUAACUUAGGCAUCGGAGGGCCUUUGGCCAACACCUCCCGGGUGUGGUCCUUUUACUCCGAUCUGUUUUGCAGGGAGAAAGAGAGGCGGAGAAGACGAAGGAAUCUUGGGCGAAUAUUCUCUCAUAAGAUUAUUUGCACAAACAAUCAUGAUCAAUAUGGCAAUGUCUACGCUACUCCUGCUUUGCAACUGAUAUGCUUGAUGUUUUUUUUCUUCUAAUUUGCUUUAUUAUUAAAAGGCUAAUAGUCUAGUAAGGUUAUAAACUUCAAAGCGAAGCACAUUUUUUGCUUGUUGAAAAGUCCCAAAUUUGGAACCAACUAGUCGCGACUUGGUUGAAGAAGAUUUCAAGUUUGAUUUACAUGAAUUGUGAUGGUGUAGCUUUGUUGUGGUUCAUUACCGGCUGUAAAAGUAUGUUAUAAAACCACAAUUGACUCUGCAAUCUACCUAGCCCACUCCAGUAAAACUCAAUGCAAGAGUGCCAGUUCCUAUUAUCUCUGGUGUGAAAGUCAAAAACAAAACUCUGUGCAUGACUCAAGUAUUAGGUUGAAGGUAGAAGUAGCAUGAAAGCCAUGAACACACCAAACUACAACUCACUCUCUCUGUUCUGCCCUUAUAUUAAAAGCCCCAGCCUCCAAUCACCAUCAAUAUCACUAACCUUUUCUUCCACCAUCGGUCACAUUUUUUUCUGUUGAUCUUAAUAUGGCCUUCUCUAAUCUCACUACUUUCUUGUACUUGCUCUUCCUUGGUCCACUACUUUUCAGCUUUCAUUUAUGCUUGGCGUCUCGCCUCAUGAUGGAGCUAAAGAAGCCAUCAACGACCAUGCAAUUGGGAUCUGACCCUUCAUCACCCUUCAGCAACCUAAUGAAGCCAACAUUGCCAUUUUUCCAAGAUCUUCCAAACCCAGUUGAAAACAUGAACACAUUGCUCCCAUUUCCUGGCUUUCCAACCAUUCCCAAGAUUCCUCCAAUACCCAAAUUCCCAUUUAUCCCAACCAUGCCUUCAGUUAAUCCUUUUCUUCCUCAACCACCAGUUCCUAAGAAUUCAGAGUCUAUGAUUUCAAGAAAUGAGGCCAAAGCCUCCCCAUGAAGUGCCCUUUUGUUAGCUUAGCUCAUGCUGUUGUCUCAAAUAGCUAGCAGUCUGUUUUUAUUGAUGAUGUUUAGCUUUCAUCAUGUUGCUGGUAGCCAUUGUAACAAUAACAAAUACAGUCAUGAUCUUUUUAGCUGUUUUCAUUCAGUCAUUGUUCCUCAAUCACUCAUAUGAAUUACUACAAGUUGACAUAAGAAAAAGUUAUCUUUUAACUACUUGGCUACAACUGAUCUGAAAGGUAUAAUUGUGUACUUGGAAGGAAUAAUGCAAAAGUUGCAAGGCUAAUUGGAUGGGGGAAAUACUUUUCAAUAUUAAUUCAUUGCAAAUUUAACAUA
Molecule: long non-coding RNA, 39436 nt
Filed under: Prunus persica (peach)
Lineage: Eukaryota; Viridiplantae; Streptophyta; Magnoliopsida; Rosales; Rosaceae
Description: long non-coding RNA (PPER_LNC004035)
Source: RNAcentral